GCAUAGCGGAGAGCCGAGACGGCGAGACUCCAUCGAACCAGCCGACGUCGAAGCUCCAGCCGCCGUCGAAGCUUCAGUCGCCGUCGAAGAUCCAGCUGCCGUCGGAACUCCAGUCGCCAUUGAAGGUCCAGCUCCAGCCGUCAAAGGUCCAGCUCCAGCCGUCGAAGAUCCAGCCGCAGUUGUCGCCGUCGAAGGUCCAGCUCCAGCCGUCCGUCGCCGUCUAAGCUCCGGUUUCAGCCCUCCGUCACCGUUGUCUACUCGUCUUUAUAAUGGCUUCAUCAAGUGCUUCGGCUACUCAAAGUGUUGGAUCUUCUGAAGCAAUCACACUUAAAAGGAGAUCAAAUGAUGUAGGGUGGGAAUAUGGUAUUUUAGUUUAUGGGAAAAAUAUGGAUAAAGUAAAAUGCUUGUUGUGCGGGAAACUAUUAUCCGGUGGAGUGCAUCGAAUAAAAGAGCAUAUUGCUCAUAUACAAGGAAAUGUUGUUCCAUGUUCUAAAGCUACUAAAGAUGAUCAACUUAAGUGUAG
Ipomoea nil (Japanese morning glory) is the source of this 523-nucleotide long non-coding RNA. RefSeq lists it as uncharacterized. The transcript is spliced from 2 exons. The record is from RefSeq and is a predicted model, not a curated record. Lineage: Eukaryota; Viridiplantae; Streptophyta; Magnoliopsida; Solanales; Convolvulaceae.